RNAcentral lists this non-coding RNA (364 nucleotides) under Drosophila ananassae. RNAcentral's name for it is "Eukaryotic large subunit ribosomal RNA". It matches the Rfam family "Eukaryotic large subunit ribosomal RNA", at positions 3082 to 3401 of the family's 3401-position model. Lineage: Eukaryota; Metazoa; Arthropoda; Insecta; Diptera; Drosophilidae. The record is from Rfam by way of RNAcentral.
GCGACAGUGGUAUGACGCUACGUCCGUUGGAUUAUGCCUGAACGCCUCUAAGGUCGUAUCCGUGCUGGACUGCAAUGAUAAAUAAGGGGCAAUUUGCAUUGUAUGGCUUCUAAACCAUUUAAAGUUUAUUAUUUAUAUUUUAAACGACAAUGGAUGUGAUGCCAAUGUAAUUUGUAACAUAGUAAAUUGGGAGGAUCUUUGAUCACCUGGUGCCAUGCUAGUUACAUAUGAAAACAUUAUUUAAUACAAUGACAAAGCCUAGAAUCAAUUGUAAACGACUUUUGUAACGGGCAAGGUGUUGUAAGUGGUUGAGCAGCUGCCAUACUGCGAUCCACUGAAGCUUAUCCUUUGCUUGAUGAUUCGA